This 240-nucleotide long non-coding RNA is filed under the name Eucalyptus grandis. RNAcentral describes it as "long non-coding RNA (EGRA_LNC004993)". Lineage: Eukaryota; Viridiplantae; Streptophyta; Magnoliopsida; Myrtales; Myrtaceae. The record is from RNAcentral.
AUUUCAGGACCCCGCUGAAGAGCUAUGGAGGAGGAAUCCGAGAAGGAGAACUCGGAGGUGAGAUCUGAAGAGAAGGAUUUUUGGAAGAAGAAGAUAGUCCCGAGAGGGGCCUUGAGUACGGUCUGGAUGGAUUGAGAUCCUAUCUUCUUUUGAGAUCUCCUUUUUGAUGUGAAUAGUUAUGAAGUGAUUUAUGGUUUGUAUAAAAGUUUGGUUAUAAAUUUCAAUAUGAAAAAUAUGGCC